Molecule: transfer RNA, 69 nt
Filed under: Pleroneura sp. 1 GYN-2021b
Lineage: Eukaryota; Metazoa; Arthropoda; Insecta; Hymenoptera; Xyelidae
Description: tRNA-Thr
Source: RNAcentral
GUUUUAAUAAUUUAAAAAAAAAUCUUGGUCUUGUAAAUCAAAAAUAGGAAAAAAAAAUCCUUUAAAACU